UGAGCAUUUCGAAACCUGACAUGAAUGAUUGU
This 32-nucleotide non-coding RNA is filed under the name Mus musculus (house mouse). The record is from RNAcentral. Lineage: Eukaryota; Metazoa; Chordata; Mammalia; Rodentia; Muridae.